This 346-nucleotide unclassified non-coding RNA is filed under the name soil metagenome. RNAcentral's name for it is "partial contains 5.8S ribosomal RNA, internal transcribed spacer 2, and large subunit ribosomal RNA". The stretch from base 1 to 120 matches the Rfam family "5.8S ribosomal RNA", at positions 35 to 154 of the family's 154-position model. The record is from RNAcentral.
GAUGAAGAACGCAGCAAAAUGCGAUAAGUAAUGUGAAUUGCAGAAUUCAGUGAAUCAUCGAAUCUUUGAACGCACAUUGCGCCCGCUGGUAUUCCGGCGGGCAUGCCUGUUCGAGCGUCAUUUCAACCCUCAAGCCCCCGGGUUUGGUGUUGGGGAUCGGCUCUGCCUUCUGGCGGUGCCGCCCCCGAAAUACAUUGGCGGUCUCGCUGCAGCCUCCAUUGCGUAGUAGCUAACACCUCGCAACUGGAACGCGGCGCGGCCAUGCCGUAAAACCCCAACUUCUGAAUGUUGACCUCGGAUCAGGUAGGAAUACCCGCUGAACUUAAGCAUAUCAAUAAGCGGAGGA